UACACAUGCAAGUCGAACGAUGAUCUCCAGCUUGCUGGGGGGAUUAGUGGCGAACGGGUGAGUAACACGUGAGUAACCUGCCCUUGACUCUGGGAUAAGCCUGGGAAACUGGGUCUAAUACUGGAUACGACCUUCCCACGCAUGUGGUGUUGGUGGAAAGCUUUUGUGGUUUUGGAUGGACUCGCGGCCUAUCAGCUUGUUGGUGGGGUAAUGGCCUACCAAGGCGACGACGGGUAGCCGGCCUGAGAGGGUGGACGGCCACACUGGGACUGAGACACGGCCCAGACUCCUACGGGAGGCAGCAGUGGGGAAUAUUGCACAAUGGGCGCAAGCCUGAUGCAGCGACGCCGCGUGAGGGAUGAAGGCCUUCGGGUUGUAAACCUCUUUCAGUAGGGAAGAAGCGAAAGUGACGGUACCUGCAGAAGAAGCGCCGGCUAACUACGUGCCAGCAGCCGCGGUAAUACGUAGGGCGCAAGCGUUAUCCGGAAUUAUUGGGCGUAAAGAGCUCGUAGGCGGUUUGUCGCGUCUGCCGUGAAAGUCCGGGGCUUAACUCCGGAUCUGCGGUGGGUACGGGCAGACUUGAGUGAUGUAGGGGAGACUGGAAUUCCUGGUGUAGCGGUGAAAUGCGCAGAUAUCAGGAGGAACACCGAUGGCGAAGGCAGGUCUCUGGGCAUUAACUGACGCUGAGGAGCGAAAGCAUGGGGAGCGAACAGGU
Molecule: ribosomal RNA, 715 nt
Filed under: bacterium xpnta369lb523onp10.8dc
Lineage: Bacteria
Description: bacterial SSU rRNA
Rfam family: Bacterial small subunit ribosomal RNA
Source: RNAcentral